Molecule: ribosomal RNA, 253 nt
Filed under: uncultured bacterium
Lineage: Bacteria
Description: partial 16S ribosomal RNA
Rfam family: Bacterial small subunit ribosomal RNA
Source: RNAcentral
UACAGAGGGUGCAAGCGUUGUUCGGAAUUACUGGGCGUAAAGGGCUCGUAGGUGGCCAAUUAAGUCAGGCGCGAAAUCCCCAGGCUCAACUUGGGAACUGCGUCUGAUACUGGUUGGCUUGAAUUCGGGAGAGGGAUGCAGAAUUCCAGGUGUAGCGGUGAAAUGCGUAGAUAUCUGGAGGAAUACCGGUGGCGAAGGCGGCAUCCUGGACCGAGAUUGACACUGAGGAGCGAAAGCCAGGGGAGCAAACGGG